Molecule: ribosomal RNA, 1279 nt
Filed under: Clostridium tyrobutyricum DSM 2637 = ATCC 25755 = JCM 11008
Lineage: Bacteria; Bacillati; Bacillota; Clostridia; Eubacteriales; Clostridiaceae
Description: bacterial LSU rRNA
Rfam family: Bacterial large subunit ribosomal RNA
Source: RNAcentral
GGGAUGACGCAGGAGGAUAGGAUGUGCACACUAUUGGAUGUGUGUCUAAGCACUUAGGCAGGCUGGAUUGGAAAAUCCGUUCAGUCAAUGCUGAGGUGUUACAGGGAUCCCUUUCGGGAGAAGUAUCUGAUUCCACGCUGCCAAGAAAAGUCUCUAUGGAGUAAGUUUGUGCCCGUACCGCAAACCGACACAGGUAGGUGAGGAGAGAAUCCUAAGACCAUCGGAAGAAUUGUUGUUAAGGAACUAGGCAAAUUAACUCCGUAACUUAGGGAUAAGGAGUGCCCCGAAAGGGGCCGCAGAGAAUAGGCUCAAGCAACUGUUUAUCAAAAACACAGGUCUCUGCUAAAGCGAAAGCUGAAGUAUAGGGGCUGACGCCUGCCCGGUGCUGGAAGGUUAAGGGGAAUACUUAGCGCAAGCGAAGGUAUGAACUUAAGCCCCAGUAAACGGCGGCCGUAACUAUAACGGUCCUAAGGUAGCGAAAUUCCUUGUCGGGUAAGUUCCGACCCGCACGAAUGGCGUAAUGAUUUGAGCACUGUCUCGACAACAAAUCCGGCGAAAUUGUAGUGCAAGUGAAGAUGCUUGCUACCCGCGAUUGGACGGAAAGACCCCGUAGAGCUUUACUGCAGUUUAGCAUUGAGUUUCGGUAUUGUCUGUACAGGAUAGGUGGGAGACUUGGAUAUUAGGGCGCCAGCCCUUUUGGAGUCGCCCUUGGGAUACCACCCUGACAGUACUGGAAUUCUAACCGGCGGCCAUGAAACUGGUCACGGGACAUUGUUAGGCAGGCAGUUUGACUGGGGCGGUCGCCUCCUAAAAUGUAACGGAGGCGCCCAAAGGUUCCCUCAGAAGGGUCGGAAAUCCUUCGAAGAGUGCAAAGGCAUAAGGGAGCCUGACUGCGACACAUACAGGUGGAGCAGGGACGAAAGUCGGGCUUAGUGAUCCGGUGGUACCUCGUGGGAGGGCCAUCGCUCAACGGAUAAAAGCUACCUCGGGGAUAACAGGCUGAUCUCCCCCAAGAGUCCACAUCGACGGGGAGGUUUGGCACCUCGAUGUCGGCUCGUCGCAUCCUGGGGCUGAAGUAGGUCCCAAGGGUUGGGCUGUUCGCCCAUUAAAGCGGCACGCGAGCUGGGUUCAGAACGUCGUGAGACAGUUCGGUCCCUAUCCGUCGCGGGCGCAGGAAAUUUGAGAGGAGCUGUCCUUAGUACGAGAGGACCGGGAUGGACUGACCUCUGGUGUACCAGUUGUUCCGCCAGGAGCAUGGCUGGGUAGCUAUGUCGGGAAG